GACGAACGCUGGCGGCGUGCCUAAUACAUGCAAGUAGGACGCAGUUGCGAACGGGUGAGUAACGCGUAGGUAACUACCUAUUAGAGGGGGAUAACUAUUUGAAACGAUAGCUAAUACCGCAUACUAGUAGAUGGACCUGCGUUGUAUUAGCUAGUAGGUCGGGUAAUGGCCUCCCUAGGCAACGAUACAUAGCCGACCCGGAGAGGUGGUCGGGCACAAUGGGACUGAGGCACGGGCCAGACUCCCAAGGGAGGCAACAGUAGGGAAUUAUCGGAAAAGGGGGGAAACCUUACCGAGCAACGCCGCGGGAGUGAAGAAGGUUUUCGGAUCGGAAAGGUAUGUUGUUAAGGAAGCGGUACUUAACCAGAAAGGGACGGCUAACUACGUGCCAGCAGCCGCGGUAAUAC
Molecule: ribosomal RNA, 407 nt
Filed under: uncultured bacterium
Lineage: Bacteria
Description: partial 16S ribosomal RNA
Rfam family: Bacterial small subunit ribosomal RNA
Source: RNAcentral